Long non-coding RNA from Cynoglossus semilaevis (tongue sole), 698 nucleotides. RefSeq lists it as uncharacterized. The record is from RefSeq and is a predicted model, not a curated record. The transcript is spliced from 3 exons. NCBI's taxonomy places the organism in Eukaryota, Metazoa, Chordata, Actinopteri, Pleuronectiformes, Cynoglossidae.
CCACCAGGAGACAAAGUCAGAUUUAAAGCCCAGGUCUCCACCGCUGUAGUCCACAGAGUGAUCUGGUAUCAGUACCAGAUGUCCUUCCUGACGCAAAUAAAACCUAGGAUUUGAGGUCAAGGUAGAAAAACCCAGAAUCCUCUAGUAGCUGCAGUCCAAUCAUUUCAUUUAGUCGUGUAUUUUUUUUUAGGGAUGUCCAAUAAUAUCAGCCGACUGAUGAUACUGUAAGAGAACGUCUGUCCAAUCCUCUCCAUAUGUGGACAGGUUCAAAGAAGAACAUUAGGAAUUUUGCCGACAUCAUCUUACCCUGGAGCCGCUCAGCAUUGCUUGUGGUCCAGUUUUCCCAUCAAACCCUGAGGCCAUUUGGGACAUCAGACCCUGCAGCACAAGGGAACUGUUCCCAGUGGAACUCACUCCUGGUGAUCCUGAAUGUGUUGGAUGUCCUGGAGGUCCAGGUUCACCGGGCUGACCAGGCACACCAGGCUCUCCAUCGUAACCCGCGGUACCCCGCAGUCCCUACAGAGACGGAGACAAAUGAAAGUUGUGGCGGUGACGUACGGGCCGGCCUUUGUUUCCACGUGGUCCUCGUUCUCCUGGAGAGCCGGGUGGUCCCUGUAGUAAUCAACGAGGACAGACAACAGUCAGGUACAAUAAUACACAGUAGUACAUGUGCUGUACCAUGUUCUUUAUAAUGUGGU